This is a long non-coding RNA of Haemorhous mexicanus (house finch), 1600 nucleotides long. RefSeq lists it as uncharacterized. The transcript has 2 exons. The record is from RefSeq and is a predicted model, not a curated record. NCBI's taxonomy places the organism in Eukaryota, Metazoa, Chordata, Aves, Passeriformes, Fringillidae.
ACUAACUAGCAGAAUGAGAGGGGAGGGGAAAAAAAAAGAAAUAAUGAGAGAAAAAGAUAAGAAAAUAUGAAGGUGGUAUCAUUAAAUAUAUUGUCUCUUUAGAAAUGUGCACGUAUGUACAAUACUUGAUAUAUAUUACAACAAAUGACCUUGGAAUACAGCACAUCUUUACUGCACGUUAUUUGCUUUAUUUCUAUUUAGCAGGGGUGCAUGUUUCUGAAGUAACUUCGUGGAUAAAUGUGCAAUGUGAUCCAGCAAUUGGAUUUAUAAGGGUCAGUAUUCCCUCCAGCUCUUCUACUAAACAGCUUUGUAACUCUGAGCAAAUAACUUAUUUUUAUGCCUCUUAUGCCUCUGAGUUCCCAUUCUCUCUCUCCCUUUUCUUUUCUUUUUCUUUUUUCUAAUUUUUGGGGAUAAUUACAGUGCCAGAAUUGCCCUAAUAUGCAAUGCUUUCUUUGGACCUCAGAAUUGCAAUGGGAUGUGCACAGUUAAUAAAUGUAGCACCAGCAGUUGUGGCCAUUUGUGCACCUGGAUUGUCCUCUCCACAUCAUCUUUUACAGGAAGAAAUGGAGGCUCCAAUACAAUUCAGUUCUACUGAAACUGGUUCUCAUUUGCAAGAGUUGUUACGCUCAUGAGAGGCAUUGCAAACAUUUCUUGAAAGCACAGGCACCCAUGGGAGGGGAGAGUCCUGAUUUCUGAAGACUAUGGCACAGACCCAAACAGGUCUAUCACCCAGAUCACUUCAGUGCAGGAUUUAAGUGGAGUUCAGGUUUAUAGGGUUGUAAUCACAUUUCAGAGCUUUUCCUUCCCCUAACCAAACAGCUACACAACUCUGGAGCCAUCUGCAGCUCACAGCCAUGUUAACUUCUGUCAGACAGCUCUAUCACUGCACAUCCUGAAAACAUCUCAAUUCUAACACACGAUCAAUCAUGGCCCAGCGGGACCCUUUCUGCCUUAGGGUUAUGGAGCAGGUGGGUUUUAAGCUGUAGUCAACUCCAGCACCACCUAGAUCCCUACAAAAGACGAAAUCAGGGGAUACACAACCUGGAUGCCCACAAAACAUGAAACCAGAAGAUACUACCAUCUUUCCAAAUAUGUCUGAAAGGCAGAAGUAUCAAGUGCAUUGAAUUGACAGCUUAAGUCUUAGUUUUGGCAAACUGAACUCUUACUGUGUGACAUGGAUUGCACCAAGCCACGUUUCACAAUUUCACUUUGGUUUUGCAGACUGCGGUAAUAGCCGUCUACCUUAGGCUAAGCCUCCAGAACUGCAGCUGGGUAACAGUAUCCCGUUCUAUGUCAACAGUUGCUGUAAAAAAUAGAAUAAAAGGCAAAUACUAUUCAAACUAAAAGGCUGUAACCUGAAACCACUUUGAAUGGACAGAGAAGUUUCACAUUUUGAUGGUGUUGCCUGUAUUACCCAGAGCCCUCACAUCAGAUCUGAGAGCUCUCUUCAUAUAUUAUGGAACUUUCCUUGUACAGAAAAUAACAAUUUUCAGGAUGUUGAGAAAAAAACCCCAAAAUUCCAAAUGCACUCUCUGCUUUAAAGCGCUCUGAAAUUAAACAAAAUAUUUACUGUUCUUCAAUAAAAACUGUUAAAUAAAAA